This 1428-nucleotide long non-coding RNA is filed under the name Arachis ipaensis. RNAcentral describes it as "long non-coding RNA (AIPA_LNC000011)". The record is from RNAcentral. Lineage: Eukaryota; Viridiplantae; Streptophyta; Magnoliopsida; Fabales; Fabaceae.
CUAUUUAUACUUAGUAAGUUAAGGUGUCUACCACACUGUUUUCUUUUGUUUUUUCUUCCUAAACAAAGUCUCUAUCUCUUUUUCUCAAAAAUAUAUUUCAACAAGCUAUUUUCAAUUAUAAGAUGACUUAUAAGAAUGUUCUUUUGAUCCUUGGAAUUUUAACCGUGAUUGUUCUAAGUCCUUCGGAGAUUCUAGCUCGGGACUUACCAGCAACAGAAUAUACCCAAGGACCAGGUUUGUUUUAGCAUUUAUAUAUGACAUAAAAAUUGUUUAUAAAGGACUUUUACUUGUUAACUCUAAAUUUCUCUUUUUGAAUUAUCUUCAGAAGUGACGAAAAAUAUAUAUUUUAUUAUUGGGUUAAUCACCAAAAACGUGCAUGAAUUAUCUAAUAUUAAAUAUGUAUUUCUCAAAAAAUACAUUAGACAUUGAAUUUUGAUGCAAUUUUUUAUAAGUAUAAUUAAAAAAUAAGAUAUUAUUAUUCAAACGCUAACAAAAAUAUACUCAAAUUUUGCUAUCGACAAAAAUGCCAUUAAAUAAUUUAAAAACGGGAUAAAAUUAUCUAAUAUUAAAUAUGUAUUUUUCAAAAAAUACAUUAGACAUUAAAUUUUGAUGCAAUUUUUUACAAGUAUGAUUAAAAAAAUGAUAUAUUAUUAUUCUUAAAAUUUGGUGAUUUUUUGUGAUAUUUUAUUAACAAAAAAUCACUAAAUUUUAAGGAUAAAAAUAUCUCAUUUUUUUAAUCGUAUUUAUAAAAAAGUUAAUCAAAAUUCAAUUUCGAAGGCAUUUUUUGAAAAUACAUAUUUAUUGUUGAACAUUUUUAUCGCAUUUUUAAAUUAUUUGAGGGCAUUUUUGUCAAUAACAAAAUUUGAAUGCAUUUUUGUUCAGCGUUUGAGUAAUUCGAAAACGUUUUUGAAAGUUAACCCUUCAUUAUUUCAUUAUCAAUCCAUAUUUUUAUAGCAUAUGACAUUUUCUUUUCAAAUAUGAUUGUAUUUCUCAUGUUAUCAAUCUUCCGAACUUGCAUAUUUCUAAAAAAUGUAUCAUUGUCUACCUGCAGUUUAUAAAAUAGAAGAAAUAGGUCAAAUUGCUGGACCAACUGGGUUAGGAAGAGAUGUCAAUGACUUGGAUGGUGGAAAAUACAACAUUAGUCAAUGUAAACGUCUUUGUUGUGCUGUAAUAGGAUUCUGUUUUUGUUGCUAAUGGCAUACAAAUGAAAGAUGUGAAUUUGUUACAUCUGUCUAUGUUAAAUCUUAUAACUGCCAUAUGAGAAUAAAGGAAUAAAAUGUAUACCAUAGGUAGAAUAAUAAUCAAUAGCUCUGUGCGUAGCUUGCAAAGAUUAUGUAACUGGAUCUAUUUGGUUGAUGUGGUAAGGUUUUUGAAAUUGCAUUUUCUUUCAUAAACAGGGCUUCUCUCUAUGUUUUGUAUUUUAUUUUU